RNAcentral lists this non-coding RNA (21 nucleotides) under Arabidopsis thaliana (thale cress). The record is from RNAcentral. Lineage: Eukaryota; Viridiplantae; Streptophyta; Magnoliopsida; Brassicales; Brassicaceae.
UUGCAUAUCUCAGGAGCUUUA